Molecule: non-coding RNA, 79 nt
Organism: Podarcis lilfordi (Lilford's wall lizard)
Lineage: Eukaryota; Metazoa; Chordata; Lepidosauria; Squamata; Lacertidae
Source: the annotation of a GenBank genome assembly
ACCUGGGAUUCAAAAGCUCAGUCAGUAGAGCACGAGACUCUUAAUCUCAUGUUUGUGAGCUCAAACCCCACAUUGGGCA